CUCCAAAUUCACGGUCACCUUCCUCGCCUAUCUCUGCCGCCUAGACCUCGCACUGCCGAUUUUGCCGUGGCCACCAACACCAAUUUUAUGUAUCAUUAGUUUUCACAGCAAUACUCAAGACCUCCACAGAACUGAAGUCGACGAGCUUAAGGCGAAACAGAUUGGAGGAAUAGAGUAGGAAUAAUUUUCCUAUACUUGCAGAAAAGAAGAAGAAGCAAAUCAGUGUAGGAACAGAGGGACGGCGGGGUUCGGAUGGGGAAGGGGGCGGCAGUUGGGAAAUUGGGUAAGGGGAUGUGAAGGGUGGUAGUAGUCGAAGGAAAUUUGUGGGGGUUGGGGGCGGCGGCCUGGGG
This 350-nucleotide long non-coding RNA is filed under the name Salvia miltiorrhiza (redroot sage). RNAcentral describes it as "long non-coding RNA (SMIL_LNC005411)". Lineage: Eukaryota; Viridiplantae; Streptophyta; Magnoliopsida; Lamiales; Lamiaceae. The record is from RNAcentral.